This 253-nucleotide ribosomal RNA is filed under the name uncultured bacterium. RNAcentral's name for it is "partial 16S ribosomal RNA". It matches the Rfam family "Bacterial small subunit ribosomal RNA", at positions 524 to 776 of the family's 1533-position model. The record is from RNAcentral.
UACGAAGGGGGCUAGCGUUGUUCGGAGUUACUGGGCGUAAAGGGCGCGUAGGCGGCUAGAUGUGUCAAAGGUGAAAUCCCUCGGCUCAACUGAGGAACUGCCUUUGAAACUGUCUGGCUUGAGGCCGGGAGAGGGUAGCGGAAUUCCCAGUGUAGCGGUGAAAUGCGUAGAUAUUGGGAGGAACACCAGUGGCGAAGGCGGCUACCUGGACCGGUUCUGACGCUGAGGCGCGAAAGCGUGGGUAGCAAACAGG